RNAcentral lists this ribosomal RNA (545 nucleotides) under uncultured Glomeromycotina. RNAcentral's name for it is "SSU rRNA". It matches the Rfam family "Eukaryotic small subunit ribosomal RNA", at positions 548 to 1098 of the family's 1831-position model. The record is from RNAcentral. Lineage: Eukaryota; Fungi; Glomeromycota.
UUGGAGGGCAAGUCUGGUGCCAGCAGCCGCGGUAAUUCCAGCUCCAAUAGCGUAUAUUAAAGUUGUUGCAGUUAAAAAGCUCGUAGUUGAAUUUCGGGGUUCUACCGUUGGUCGGGCUUUGUCUGUACUGGUGUGUAGAAUUUCUACCUUCUGGGGAACCAUCAUGCUAUUAAUUUAGCGUGGUGGGAAACCAGGACCUUUACCUUGAAAAAAUUAGUGUGUUCAAAGCAGGCUUAUGUCUGAAUACAUUAGCGUGGAAUAAUAGAAUAGGACGGUGGUCCUGUUUUGUUGGUUUCUGAAUCACCGUAAUGAUUAAUAGGGAUAGUUGGGGGCAUUAGUAUUCAAUUGUCAGAGGUGAAAUUCUUGGAUUUAUUGAAGACUAACUUCUGCGAAAGCAUUUGCCAAGGAUGUUUUCAUUAAUCAAGAACGAAAGUUAGGGGAUCGAAGACGAUCGGAUACCGUCGUAGUCUUAACCAUAAACUAUGCCGACUAGGGAUCGGACGAUGUUAAUUUUUUAAUGACUCAUUCGGCGCCUUACGGGAAAC